AGUGAACGCUGGCGGUAGGCCUAACACAUGCAAGACGAACGGCAGCACAGGAGAGCUUGCUCUCUGGGUGGCGAGUGGCGGACGGGUGAGGAAUACAUCGGAAUCUACUUUUUCGUGGGGGAUAACGUAGGGAAACUUACGCUAAUACCGCAUACGACCUACGGGUGAAACCAGGGGAUCUUCGGACCUUGCGCGAUUGAAUGAGCCGAUGUCGGACUAGCUAGUUGGCGGGGUAAAGGCCCACCAAGGCGACGAUCCAUAGCUAGUUUGAGAGGAUGAUCAGCAACACUGGAACUGAGACACGGUCCAGAAUCCUUCGGGAGGCAGCAGUGGGGAAUAUUGGACAAUGGGCGCAAGCCUGAUCCAGCCAUACCGCGUGGGUGAAGAAGGCCUUCGGGUUGUAAAGCCCUUUUGUUGGGAAAGAAAUCCAGCUGGUUAAUACCCGGUUGGGAUGACGGUACCCAAAGAAUAAGCACCGGCUAACUUCGUGCCAGCAGCCGCAGUAA
This 506-nucleotide ribosomal RNA is filed under the name uncultured bacterium. Its description in RNAcentral is "partial 16S ribosomal RNA". It matches the Rfam family "Bacterial small subunit ribosomal RNA", at positions 29 to 523 of the family's 1533-position model. The record is from RNAcentral.